This 72-nucleotide transfer RNA is filed under the name Pollicipes pollicipes. RNAcentral's name for it is "tRNA-Pro". It matches the Rfam family "tRNA". Rfam says of the family: Transfer RNA (tRNA) molecules are approximately 80 nucleotides in length. Their secondary structure includes four short double-helical elements and three loops (D, anti-codon, and T loops). The record is from RNAcentral. Lineage: Eukaryota; Metazoa; Arthropoda; Thecostraca; Pollicipedomorpha; Pollicipedidae.
GGCUCGUUGGUCUAGGGGUAUGAUUCUCGCUUCGGGUGCGAGAGGCCUCGGGUUCAAAUCCCGGACGAGCCC